This 82-nucleotide transfer RNA is filed under the name Albula glossodonta (roundjaw bonefish). It matches the Rfam family "tRNA". Rfam says of the family: Transfer RNA (tRNA) molecules are approximately 80 nucleotides in length. Their secondary structure includes four short double-helical elements and three loops (D, anti-codon, and T loops). The record is from Rfam by way of RNAcentral. Lineage: Eukaryota; Metazoa; Chordata; Actinopteri; Albuliformes; Albulidae.
GAUGAGGUGACCGAGUGGUUAAGGUGACGGACUGCUAAUCCGUUGUGCUUUGCACGCGUCGGUUCACAUCCCAUCCUUGCCG